GGACCACCAAGGGUGUAAUGACACAGGCACCACGAGUCAGGGUGGCUACAGCCACUCUACCCACCACGCGCUGGGUCAGCAAGGCCCCAGAGCGCAGAGGCUGACAGAUAGCCACACAGCGGUCCACAGCCAUGGCCAGCAGUACAGAGGACUCAGCAAUGAAGGCCACAUGGGCAACAAACAGCUGGGCUAGACAGGAUCCAAAGGAGAUCUCGCUCGACAAGCCCCACAGUACCGCCAGAGUUUUGGCACCGUGGCUGUGGCCAGAAUCAGAGCGAACUUGGCUCCUCAGCAACAUCCUCCACGGAGUGGCAUAGACUCAGUCCUCCCUAAAAGACCUGAGGAACAAGGUAUCCAUCCCCUCUCAGUCUGAGUAAACCAGCAAGGAACAUAAUAAGCGC
RNAcentral lists this long non-coding RNA (401 nucleotides) under Chinchilla lanigera (long-tailed chinchilla). RNAcentral describes it as "lncRNA (ENSCLAG00000024510.1)". The record is from RNAcentral. Lineage: Eukaryota; Metazoa; Chordata; Mammalia; Rodentia; Chinchillidae.